ACGGAAGGCAGCAGUGGGGAAUAUUGGACAAUGGGGGAAACCCUGAUCCAGCGACGCCGCGUGAGUGAAGAAGUAUUUCGGUAUGUAAAGCUCUAUCAGCAAGGAAGAAAAUGACGGUGCCUGACUAAGAAGCCCCGGCUAACUACGUGCCAGCAGCCGCGGUAAUACGUAGGGGGCAAGCGUUAUCCGGAUUUACUGGGUGUAAAGGGAGCGUAGACGGAAUAGCAAGUCUGAAGUGAAAUCAUAGGGCUCAACCCUGUAAUUGCUUUGGAAACUGUUGAUCUUGAGUACCGGAGGGACAGGCGGAAUUCCUGGUGUAGCGGUGAAAUGCGUAGAUAUCAGGAAGAACACCGGUGGCGAAGGCGGCCUGCUGGACGGCAACUGACGUUGAGGCUCGAAAGCGUGGGGAGCAAACAGGAUUAGAUACCCUGGUA
Molecule: ribosomal RNA, 434 nt
Filed under: uncultured Lachnospiraceae bacterium
Lineage: Bacteria; Bacillati; Bacillota; Clostridia; Lachnospirales; Lachnospiraceae
Description: bacterial SSU rRNA
Rfam family: Bacterial small subunit ribosomal RNA
Source: RNAcentral